CCUACGGGAGGCAGCAGUGAGGAAUAUUGGUCAAUGGGCGCGAGCCUGAACCAGCCAAGUCGCGGGAGGGAAGACGGUCCUAUGGAUUGUAAACCUCUUUUGUCGGGGAGCAAAAGACGCCACGCGUGGCGUUCCGCGAGUACCCGAAGAAACAGCAUAGGCUAACUCGGUGCCAGCAGCCGCGGUACUACGGAGGAUGCGAGCGUUAUCCGGAUUUAUGGGGUUUAAAGGGUGCGCAGGCGGAAGAUCAAGUCAGCGGUAAAAUUGAGAGGCUCAACCUCGUCGAGCCGUUGAAACUGGUUGGCUUGAGUGAGCGAGAAGUAUGCGGAAUGCGUGGUGUAGCGGUGAAAUGCAUAGAUAUCACGCAGAACUCCGAUGGCGAAGGCAGCAUACCGGAGCUCAACUGACGCUCAGGCACGAAAGUGUGGGGAGCGAACAGGAUUAGAUACCCGAGUAGUC
Molecule: ribosomal RNA, 459 nt
Filed under: uncultured bacterium
Lineage: Bacteria
Description: partial 16S ribosomal RNA
Rfam family: Bacterial small subunit ribosomal RNA
Source: RNAcentral